RNAcentral lists this ribosomal RNA (253 nucleotides) under uncultured bacterium. Its description in RNAcentral is "partial 16S ribosomal RNA". It matches the Rfam family "Bacterial small subunit ribosomal RNA", at positions 524 to 776 of the family's 1533-position model. The record is from RNAcentral.
UACGAAGGGGGCUAGCGUUGCUCGGAAUUACUGGGCGUAAAGGGCGCGUAGGCGGAUCGUUAAGUCAGAGGUGAAAGCCCAGGGCUCAACCCUGGAAUUGCCUUUGAUACUGGCGAUCUUGAGUACGGGAGAGGUGUGUGGAACUCCGAGUGUAGAGGUGAAAUUCGUAGAUAUUCGGAAGAACACCAGUGGCGAAGGCGACUUACUGGACACAUAUUGACGCUGAGGUGCGAAAGCGUGGGGAGCAAACAGG